GACGAACGCUGGCGGCGUGCUUAACACAUGCAAGUCGAACGGAAAGGCCCUGCUUUUGUGGGGUGCUCGAGUGGCGAACGGGUGAGUAACACGUGAGUAACCUGCCCUUGACUUUGGGAUAACUUCAGGAAACUGGGGCUAAUACCGGAUAGGAGCUCCUGCUGCAUGGUGGGGGUUGGAAAGUUUCGGCGGUUGGGGAUGGACUCGCGGCUUAUCAGCUUGUUGGUGGGGUAGUGGCUUACCAAGGCUUUGACGGGUAGCCGGCCUGAGAGGGUGACCGGCCACAUUGGGACUGAGAUACGGCCCAGACUCCUACGGGAGGCAGCAGUGGGGUAUAUUGCACAAUGGGCGGAAGCCUAAUGCAGCAACGCCGCGUGCGGGAUGACGGCCUUCGGGUUGUAAACCGCUUUCGCCUGUGACGAAGCGUGAGUGACGGUAAUGGGUAAAGAAGCACCGGCUAACUACGUG
This 468-nucleotide ribosomal RNA is filed under the name uncultured bacterium. Its description in RNAcentral is "partial 16S ribosomal RNA". It matches the Rfam family "Bacterial small subunit ribosomal RNA", at positions 28 to 507 of the family's 1533-position model. The record is from RNAcentral.